UACGUAGGGUGCAAGCGUUAAUCGGAAUUACUGGGCGUAAAGCGUGCGCAGGCGGUUUUGUAAGUCUGACGUGAAAUCCCCGGGCUCAACCUGGGAAUUGCGUUGGAGACUGCAAGGCUAGAAUCUGGCAGAGGGGGGUAGAAUUCCACGUGUAGCAGUGAAAUGCGUGAGAGAUGUGGAGGAACACCGAUGGCGAAGGCAGCCCCCUGGGGUCAAGAUUGACGCUCAUGCCACGAAAGCGUGGGGAG
Molecule: ribosomal RNA, 248 nt
Filed under: uncultured bacterium
Lineage: Bacteria
Description: partial 16S ribosomal RNA
Rfam family: Bacterial small subunit ribosomal RNA
Source: RNAcentral